Molecule: ribosomal RNA, 633 nt
Filed under: Desulfovibrio sp. La1.2
Lineage: Bacteria; Pseudomonadati; Thermodesulfobacteriota; Desulfovibrionia; Desulfovibrionales; Desulfovibrionaceae
Description: bacterial SSU rRNA
Rfam family: Bacterial small subunit ribosomal RNA
Source: RNAcentral
GCCUACCAAGUCUACGAUGAGUAGCAGGUCUGAGAGGAUGAUCUGCCACACUGGGACUGAAACACGGCCCAGACUCCUACGGGAGAGCAGCAGUGGGGAAUAUUGCGCAAUGGGGAAACCCUGACGCAGCGACGCCGCGUGUAGGAAGAAGGCUUUCGGGUCGUAAACUACUGUCAAGAGGGAAGAAACUGUUUAGGUAUAAUACGCCUAUUCACUGACGGUACCUCUAGAGGAAGCACCGGCUAACUCCGUGCCAGCAGCCGCGGUAAUACGGAGGGUGCGAGCGUUAAUCGGAAUCACUGGGCGUAAAGCGUGCGUAGGCGGCGCAUCAAGUCAGACGUGAAAGCCCUCGGCUCAACCGAGGAAUUGCGUUUGAAACUGAUGUGCUAGAGUCUCGGAGAGGUUAGGGGAAUUCCAGGUGUAGGAGUGAAAUCCGUAGAUAUCUGGAGGAACACCGGUGGCGAAGGCGCCUAACUGGACGAGUACUGACGCUGAGGUACGAAAGCGUGGGGAGCAAACAGGAUUAGAUACCCUGGUAGUCCACGCUGUAAACGAUGGAUAUUAGGUGUCGGGGUUAACACUUCGGUGCCGCAGUUAACGCGUUAAAUAUCCCGCCUGGGAGUACGGUCGCAA